Molecule: ribosomal RNA, 398 nt
Filed under: uncultured bacterium
Lineage: Bacteria
Description: partial 16S ribosomal RNA
Rfam family: Bacterial small subunit ribosomal RNA
Source: RNAcentral
UGGGGAAUAUUGCACAAUGGGCGCAAGCCUGAUGCAGCCAUGCCGCGUGUGUGAAGAAGGCCUUCGGGUUGUAAGCACUUUCAGCGAGGAGGAAGGGUAGUGUGUUAAUAGCACAUUGCAUUGACGUUACUCGCAGAAGAAGCACCGGCUAACUCCGUGCCAGCAGCCGCGGUAAUACGGAGGGUGCAAGCGUUAAUCGGAAUUACUGGGCGUAAAGCGCACGCAGGCGGUUUGUUAAGUCAGAUGUGAAAUCCCCGCGCUUAACGUGGGAACUGCAUUUGAAACUGGCAAGCUAGAGUCUUGUAGAGGGGGGUAGAAUUCCCAGGUGUAGCGGUGAAAUGCGUAGAGAUCUGGAGGAAUACCGGUGGCGAAGGCGGCCCCCUGGACAAAGACUGACG